RNAcentral lists this transfer RNA (75 nucleotides) under bacterium. RNAcentral describes it as "tRNA-Asn". It matches the Rfam family "tRNA". Rfam says of the family: Transfer RNA (tRNA) molecules are approximately 80 nucleotides in length. Their secondary structure includes four short double-helical elements and three loops (D, anti-codon, and T loops). RNAcentral also lists the same sequence under 1 other name. The record is from RNAcentral.
UCCCGAGUAGCUCAGUGGUAGAGCAGUUGGCUGUUAACCAAUUGGUCACUGGUUCGAGUCCAGUCUCGGGAGCCA